Molecule: ribosomal RNA, 424 nt
Filed under: uncultured bacterium
Lineage: Bacteria
Description: bacterial SSU rRNA
Rfam family: Bacterial small subunit ribosomal RNA
Source: RNAcentral
CGGGAAUCUUCCGCAAUGGACGAAAGUCUGACGGAGCAACGCCGCGUGAGUGAUGAAGGUUUUCGGAUCGUAAAGCUCUGUUGCCAGGGAAGAACGUCCGUUAGAGUAACUGCUAACGGAGUGACGGUACCUGAGAAGAAAGCCCCGGCUAACUACGUGCCAGCAGCCGCGGUAAUACGUAGGGGGCGAGCGUUGUCCGGAAUUAUUGGGCGUAAAGCGCGCGCAGGCGGCUGUUUAAGUCUGGUGUUUAAUCCUGGGGCUCAACCCCGGGUCGCACUGGAAACUGGACAGCUUGAGUGCAGAAGAGGAGAGUGGAAUUCCACGUGUAGCGGUGAAAUGCGUAGAGAUGUGGAGGAACACCAGUGGCGAAGGCGGCUUUCUGGACGGUAACUGACGCUGAGGCGCGAAAGCGUGGGGAGCAAAC